UAGGGAAUUUUGCGCAAUGGGGGAAACCCUGACGCAGCAACGCCAUGUGUGGGAUGAAGCAUUUCGGUGUGUAAACCACUGUCGGCAGGGAAUAAAGCCCGCAUAUAUGCGGGGGUGAAUGUACCUGCAAAGGAAGCCCCGGCUAACUUCGUGCCAGCAGCCGCGGUAAUACGAGGGGGGCAAGUGUUGUUCGGAAUUACUGGGCGUAAAGGGAGCGUAGGCGGGCUCUUAAGUUGGAUGUUUAAAACCGGGGCCUAACCCCGGCGUGGCAUCCAAAACUGGGAGUCUUGAAUGGGACAGAGGCCAGUGGAAUUAGAGGUGUAGCGGUGGAAUGCGUAGAUAUCUCUAAGAACACCAGUUGCGAAGGCGGCUGGCUGGGUCCACAUUGACGCUGAGGCUCGAAAGCGUGGGGAGCAAACAGGAUUAGAUACCCCCGUAGUCC
Molecule: ribosomal RNA, 442 nt
Filed under: uncultured bacterium
Lineage: Bacteria
Description: bacterial SSU rRNA
Rfam family: Bacterial small subunit ribosomal RNA
Source: RNAcentral